GUCGUCGCGAGGCGGGGUCUGAAGGAAGCCCAAUCCAAAACUGCGGGACGAUGAACAAGAAUCGGAUAUGAGGUGUGGUGCACUCGGGACGAGCGGGCACGUGACUGCGAAGUCCUCCAUCUGCGGUAGUAGGGUGUGCUUUAUAAAUCCGGCGUCUAUGCAGUGAAGGUAACGUGU
This is a non-coding RNA of Propionivibrio sp., 177 nucleotides long. Lineage: Bacteria; Pseudomonadati; Pseudomonadota; Betaproteobacteria; Rhodocyclales; Rhodocyclaceae. The record is from Rfam.